Molecule: long non-coding RNA, 4925 nt
Filed under: Nothobranchius furzeri (turquoise killifish)
Lineage: Eukaryota; Metazoa; Chordata; Actinopteri; Cyprinodontiformes; Nothobranchiidae
Description: lncRNA (ENSNFUG00015011025.1)
Source: RNAcentral
AUGAAAAAAAGGGACAUUUUGUCCUUUUUUACCGCUGUUAGUAAAGAACAGCAUAGACAGAGAGAGGAUGAAAGUCAGGAGGGAGCUGAGAAGCAGGAUGAAAGAGAGAAGGAGGAGAUGGUUGGAGAGGAACCAGAGAGGUCAGAGGCUGUCCACCCUGAGAGUGAGGAGGAAGAUGUAGGCUGUGAGGGAGAGAGUGAGGAGCAAAAAGAGGGACAUCUUCUGUCAUGUGCACCGUGUACACUAGCGUCAGAUAUCAGCAAGUGUAAGGAUGACCCACCUACUCAGCCUCGUUUGAGGACAUUUCCAGGGACAUUAAUAGGAGACAAAAGACUCAGCUUUCAGCCAGGCUGGUAUGAAAGUCAUCCUUGGGUUGAAUAUUCUGUUACUAUGGACUCUACUUAUUGUCAUACAUGCAGACAUUUUAGCUCACCAAGUAGCGCAGGAAGUGUGUUUGACUCACCAUGUGGAUUUAGGAACUGGAAAAAAGCAACUGAGAGAGGAGGGGGGUUUUCAGUAUACUCAAAGUCUGAAAGGCUUGAGGAUUCAAUGAUAGCGUGGAGAGACUACCAGAGGGCUGUCAAAGCUAAUACAACAUUGGCUAAUAUACUCGACAAGGAGCACAGUAAAAAGGUUAAAGAAAAUCGUGAGUAUAUCAAAACAAUUGAUGAAGUGAUUUUGCUUACGUGUGUGUGUGUGUGUGUGUGUGUGUGUGUAUGUGUGAUGACUACAAAAAGCAAAUUGUAUUGUGCAGAUAUUUUAUUUGUUUGAAUGUUUAUUUUUCAUAUGUACAGUUCAUAUAAUCUUCAAAUAAAGUCACAAACUAUAAUAAUAAACUAGAAUUAUUUUUUUACUCAAGUCUCAUGUUACUGUGAAGCAUUCAGAAUUGUUAUCUGAGUACCAUAAAAACAUGCCAGUUUUACUUUCACAAGGAAACCAUUACUACAUUUGCCAUAAUAGUUUACUUGUUCAUUGUCUUUUUAUUAUGAUUUUUUUUCUUGUGCCCCCAUGAAAACAUACUGGCCCCACUGUGGCCCCCCUGGAAAAUUUGGUCUAGAACCGCCCCUGGCAAAGCCUAAUUCUCCUAUUGAAUGAAACAAAGAUUAAACUAUUUGACCACAAUCACCAAGAAACCAGCCAUAAAUACCACAGAAACAUGAUGAUAACAACUGCAUUUUAUUGGGAAUUUUCUGCAAAAAACAAACAAACAAACAAAAAAAACUUGGAAAUCAGUCAGAAAAGAAUUACUGAAAGGAGAGGAAUACAAAAUCUUCUUGAAUCACCUUUAGGAACUUGGUAUUUCAUAAACAGAAGCAAAAUAACAUUAUGGUUAAAGUGAUCUGCAACCUACAAACAGAUAUUUAAAGUUAGUGAUUAGUAUUUAAAUACACUGACUAGAAGUCAAACUAAGAAAAUAACCCUUAAAAAGACAUGCAGGAGUUAUUGGUAAAUGAGCAACUGGUGAGUAUAAUAUAGGUGAAGAGCAGGCGCAAAAAGCAGUGGGUCCCAAACACAGUCAGCAACCAACCAACCAACCAACUAACCAACCAACCAGCUUGCCAACAAACUAACCAACCAACCAACCAAACAUACCAACCAACCAACCAACCAAACAUACCAACCAACCAACCAACCAAACAUACCAACCAACCAACCAGCCAACCAACCAACCAACCCAACCAACCAACCAAACAUACCAACCAACCAACCAACCAAACCAACCAACCAACCAUACCAACCAACCAACCAACCAAACAUACCAACCAACCAACUGUCACGAUCUGCCCCUGCCCAACCUGACUGUGUUCCUCUCCUGCCGUGAUUGCCCUUAUUGUUCUCACCUGUCCCUCGUUUACCUGCCCAUGUUUCCCUAAUUAGCCCUCUGUAUUUAAACCACCUGUUUUGCCCCUGUCCUUUGUCAGUUCAUUGUUGUUGUUUGUCGGUGUCCUGUUCAUCCCAUCCUGCCAUUAAACCAUUUUUACUUUUACUGAAGCCUGCAUUUUCCCUCCGUUCAGCUCAUCCACACAUGGUCCGCCGUCUCCACCUCCUACACCGUGACACCAACCAACCAAACAUACCAACCAACCAACCAACCAACCAAACAUACCAACCAACAAAUCAACCAGCCAAACAUACCAACCAACCAGCCAACGAACUAACCAACCAACCAAACCAACCAACCAACCAACCAACCAUCCAACCAACCAACCAAACAUACCAACCAACCAACCAGCCAACAAAUUAACCAACCAACCAAACACACCAACCAACCAUACCAACCAACCAACCCCAACCAACUAGCCAGCCAACUAGCCAGUCUACCAACCAACCAAACAACCAACCCCAACCUCAAAUGACACUAGGACUAAUUAAUGAACUAUUUUUUGUAAACUAAAUUAAGUUAAAAGCAAUUUCUCUUCAAUUUUUUAUCCAUUACUUCAGCAAAUGAAACAUGCCUUCUAUUGGCUAUUUAAUAAUAUAAAUAACGUUUUAAUGUCACACACAGUUACUAGAAGUGAAAGAAAACACAAAACUUUUGCUGUUUUUGAUCAACAUUUAGUAUAAAAAUGUCUAUACUCAUUUUGCACUAAAACAUUGAGUCAGAAAACUUGAUCAUAAUGUGUUAUUUUAUUAACAUUUUAAACCGAUUUCAAACUAUGAUUACUAAUGCUGUGGGCUGAUGAGUCACUGAAAUCCAAAUAUUACCACAUAAAGGGUAUUUAUUCAAAUUAGUCAUUUCAUUUUCAACAGAAUAUUUCCAGUAAACAUUAAUACUAAAAUCCAAUCAACUCAAACCAGAGAGAAUAACAAACAUGUGAGGGAUGGAAACAAGGUCAAGAGAUUGGUCUUCAGAUGUUCAAGUAUUGUUGAAGCAGAUUUCUGAUGAAUGAAUGGUGUCAUUUCUCAUUUCCUCAUAAUUAGAUGUGCUUUAUAACUAAAAAAACCUCCUGCAGGCUUUUUGCACAUGUUAGUUGUGUGCAAUGUGAGGCGGGCUAACAGGGGUUAGAGUGUGUUUUUGGAAUAAUGCACAUGGAUAAAAGGAAGCCAGAUCACAUCUGCACCUCCCGCACACAAUCCUUCUUUUUUAUUUUUUAUAGUGAGCACUGCAGUUGUGAAGAUGACACCACAGCCUUUCCAUUUGAUGAGCAAUUAGCAUUCCCUCGCCUGAGUUUGUAUCAUGAUGAUCCAUUCAUUUCCAUGAUGUAAUUAUGUGUAUAAGGCUGCUCAUUUGGAAAACAUUGAACUCAUCAAUCUUUUUGCACCCAUUUUCUAAUUCGACCCACUGAGAGAGUCCUGGGGGACACUAAAACCGCACUUAAUUGUCCUCAUUCCAGACAGCCUCUAAUUACACUCGGUGCUUUACAUCUUGUUAAAAAAGUUCAAGAUCCUCUUUACCUUUUUUUUCUUAAUGUUUAGGGAGCAAGUUAGAGGGGGAUGGAGAAAUUCCCUUGUCACUUUGCCCUUGGCAGCUGCGCUCUGGAUAAACAAACACGCAUCGCUGUACAUUAGUCAGCCAGUUGGGAGCCAGGCUUUGAUUAAAAAGCUCCCUCUGCUGUAUCUCUGUGGCCCUCACUCCUGUGAGAGCACAGAUAAAUGAAUUAAUGAAUAGCUCUUGUUGAACUAAUGGAGAGAAGGGAUAGUUGUCUCAACAAACCGCCGUACAGUAUUGUGCUGCGCUCUUGUGAUUGAGAGGUGAGAAGGGUACACUUCCAGCCACACUGUAAAUCAUUUAGAGUCCCGAUUAGCACUUAAGCAGAUGAUUACCAGCAGAGCUACCAAUUCUCUGCUGAUUUAGUCUCAGAACUAAUGACAACUGAAGUUUCCCCUACAAAGACAUUUAGAUUUAACAGACGGAAAUGUGCAGAAGUUGUCUCUGUGGAGGCAACAGGAGAAAAGCAUUCAGGCUGUUCAAUCAGGCCCGAAAGCACAUAAGAACACAUGUCUGAUAACAGAUAAGGAGUUUUGCAAGUGGGCUUUAUGUGUGUGUGUGUGUGUGUGUGUGUGUGUGUGUGUGUGUGUGUGUGUGUGUGUGUGUUACAUCUGCUGUCAGGACAAUUUUAUUUUUUACUUUUCACCUGUAAACCUGGGGAAAGUUUUAGGUGUAUGGUGUGAAUCAACUUUUAGUUGAGGUUUGGAAUUGUAGCGUUGUGGUUUUAUGCUCUUUUAUGAAAGAGGAACCAUGCUACGUAUUAAUUCGGAAUAUUAAUUUUUAAUAAAUCAAUAACUAAAUUUUAUAUUGUUCAGAAGACUCAAAGGUUGUUUUCAUCGAUAAACUGCCGAUAAUAUCUGAGUGUCUGUGUUUCAGUUCAAUGAGGAAACCAGUUUGAAGGAUUAAAAGUUUUAAUUCUUCAAAUUAAACUAAUGAUUUUGAAAAUUGACAAACAGGAAAUAACAAUCACAUUGGCAACUUUGUGGGACAAUCUUUUAACAGUUUAUAUGCUGUUCUUGCUCAAAUAGACCUUCUGGUGAAUUUAUGAAGAUUGAGAAUGUUGUGAGUUGUGAGAGUCAUAUGAUGUGAUUAUGGAUGCGUGUGGGUGCAAAGUUUGGUGAGAUGAGGUGAGGUGGAUGCGUGUGUGAGUCUGAUUUUGCUUCAGGAAGAGACAGGUGUCUGAGUGAAAAGUGAUGGUUUGAAUAAACUUAGGUUUAGUGGAAAAGAUGCAUCCAAACGCUAAACACCGUGUUCUGUCUCACCAAAUUCUUGUGGACCCUCUUUCGGAUCCGGGCCGUGGAGGAUGUUGUGGUACAUCCAGAUGACACCGGCGGCUGACAGGAGACGUAGGUGUCGAACGGAACCGGUCCAGAGUUGCCCUCGGUACACGUUGAUGGUAAAGCGUUUUGUCGACGCGCUUUCUUAAGUUAAUUCACUCAGAAAUCAAAAGACUCGGUAAUGAGUCUGCGUUAGAAGUUGCGAUUCAGCUAUUCUG